RNAcentral lists this long non-coding RNA (1065 nucleotides) under Homo sapiens (human). RNAcentral's name for it is "HSALNT0314438". Lineage: Eukaryota; Metazoa; Chordata; Mammalia; Primates; Hominidae. The record is from RNAcentral.
ACAUAGCCUCUCUGGGUGGCUUGGCCCUCCUCACAGCAUGGCAAGCCAGGCUCCAGAGAAGCAUCCUGAGGACCAGUGUUCCUAGGGACCUCAUUCUUCUGACCUCAUUCCUACAACGUUUUGUCACUGCAAAGGAAAUCACCAAGGCCAGCAUGACAGCCCUCAACAGAAGCCAAGGCCAAGUCCUCGAACUUCCUAGUCUGCACAAUGACACUUCUGAUGAAACUGAAAAUGCCACCAGGGAGAAGCAGCUGAACUUCAAGGACCACAGAGGGCCAAGUGCAGGAGUAAGAGGCUGGCGUGCUGACAGUGGCCAAGGGCAUUGGAGGGAAGGACCUGUCAUCACUGGGCCAAGGAAGGAACUCCAGACUGCCUACUUCCAGAGGGCCUGCUGAGGAAUUUUAGCUUGAACUUGCCUGCCUUGACUAGGGCUUUCUGAGCAGCAGAUGAUUCUGCAAUGGUGUUAGUCCAGGCCUGGUUCUGCAUGACAUUGACCAUACUGUGCACCCUGGGGUCAUUAUGUCUUGGGCUUCAAGGGGCUCCAUGGGCUCCAGGGGGCUCCAUGUGACACUGCACAGAGCUCUCUCUAGGUCACCUGGAUGUGUCUCUUCCUAGGAACCCCAAAGAGCUCUCUCAACAAACACACCCACGAGUUCCAGGAGUGAGGCUGCAGGGAACAGCCUCACUCUCAGAGGGGAUACAGAAUUGUUCCACUGGACAAGGGCUGGGAUCGUCAUAGGAUGCCGUUGGCCUGUGGUUUCCAACAGAGGUGCAGUUCAUUGAACUGUGGUCUACAGUCCAUUCUCUAACUUGGGGACCCUUGAAGAAGUGUGGAAUCAUGACAACAACCCUGUUGGGAGACACUAUUAUUCCCAUCACAUGGAUGAGCACACGGAGGCAAAAGGAAGUUAUAUGAUUGUCUGAGAUCACCCAGUGAAGACUGUGUGGCUGGGAGUUGUCCCCAGUGUUAUCUGCACGCUGCUUCCUUUUGAUGCCUGGCCCUUCUUUAUCAAAAGAAGCAUUGGCAGAAUCUGGGUGUUUAUGGGUCAGCUCAAAAUAAAUUAC